GCCGAUGUAGCUCAGUGGUAGAGCACUUCAUUGGUAAUGAAGAGGUCGUGAGUUCAAUUCUCAUCAUCGGCUCAA
RNAcentral lists this transfer RNA (75 nucleotides) under Thermoflexibacter ruber. Its description in RNAcentral is "tRNA_Thr_GGT". It matches the Rfam family "tRNA". From Rfam's summary of the family: Transfer RNA (tRNA) molecules are approximately 80 nucleotides in length. Their secondary structure includes four short double-helical elements and three loops (D, anti-codon, and T loops). Lineage: Bacteria; Pseudomonadati; Bacteroidota; Cytophagia; Cytophagales; Thermoflexibacteraceae. The record is from RNAcentral.